Long non-coding RNA from Mauremys mutica (yellowpond turtle), 696 nucleotides. RefSeq lists it as uncharacterized. The transcript is spliced from 3 exons. Lineage: Eukaryota; Metazoa; Chordata; Testudines; Geoemydidae. The record is from RefSeq and is a predicted model, not a curated record.
UUUACACCAAGUAGGGGAGCAGGUGCCUUAAAGUCUGGCUUCGCCCCCAAAAGAGAGCUGGACGAAGCGUUCUCCCCAAAUUGGAUAAGGUGUUCUGAAUAAGCAGAAAAUGCCUUGGAGGAAAUCUCAGCAUCACUGGUGCUGUGACUUGGAUCUGUGUCUGGAUUAGGUGACCCAGAUCCACUUGUCUGGAACAGGAAUAUGUUGCUGGAUAAUACAAUUGAAAAAGCAAGCACAAAGAGAAAUACGAUGCAACUGAAACAAAUGCUAACGUAAGAGACAACAAAAAGGAGUGGAACGUGGGCUGACUGAGCUGACAAAACAGACCCAAGUUAAAACAAAAAGAACCCAAAAAAGUAACUGCUGAAACAACUAACUAUAGUGGGUAUGUUUAUAGUACACAAAGUCGGCAGAAACAACCUGAACUGAUAAGUUUACCAUAUGUAGUCUGCAAAGCAAUUGGUUUUUUCAUGCAAAAAGUAUAGAUGUAUAUAAACUGUGUAGUGUGUGACAUGAAUUAGAAUUGUGGUAUUACCCUGUACCUAAACCCCCUGCGUCUGGGCCUGGCUAGCGAGGACACACAGCUGUUACAUGCCUAAUAAAGUAACCAAAGUGAUGAGCUGGAGCUUGAGGGGUUUUUGAAUCCAAGAGAACUGGAUGAAGUGUUCUCCCAGAACUGGACAAGGUGUUCUGAAU